Molecule: microRNA, 22 nt
Filed under: Anolis carolinensis (green anole)
Lineage: Eukaryota; Metazoa; Chordata; Lepidosauria; Squamata; Anolidae
Description: aca-miR-9576-5p
Source: miRBase by way of RNAcentral
UUCUACACUGCCAUAUAAUCCA